UUCCAGCUGAUGAGUCCCAAAUAGGACGAAUCGCGCUUUAUCUUGGAU
RNAcentral lists this non-coding RNA (48 nucleotides) under Trichobilharzia regenti. Lineage: Eukaryota; Metazoa; Platyhelminthes; Trematoda; Strigeidida; Schistosomatidae. The record is from RNAcentral.